UCGGGAAUUUUGGGCAAUGGGCGAAAGCCUGAUCCAGCCAUGCCGCGUGAGUGACGAAGGCCUUAGGGUUGUAAAACUCUUUCGUCGGGGACGAUAAUGAUGGUACCCGAAGAAGAAGCUCCGGCUAACUUCGUGCCAGCAGCCGCGGUAAUACGUAGGGACCAAGCGUUGUUCGGAUUUACUGGGCGUAAAGGGCGCGUAGGCGGCAAUUCAAGUCAUCUGUGAAAUCUCCGGGCUUAACUCGGAACGGUCAGAUGAUACUGCUUUGCUAGAGUGCAGAAGGGGCAAUCGGAAUUCUUGGUGUAGCGGUGAAAUGCGUAGAUAUCAAGAGGAACACCUGAGGUGAAGACGGGUUGCUGGGCUGACACUGACGCUGAGGCGCGAAAGCCAGGGGAGCAAACGGGAUUAGAUACCCAAGUAGUCCCUGAGCGGGCUGGCAAGGCGCAU
This 447-nucleotide ribosomal RNA is filed under the name uncultured bacterium. RNAcentral's name for it is "bacterial SSU rRNA". It matches the Rfam family "Bacterial small subunit ribosomal RNA", at positions 355 to 825 of the family's 1533-position model. The record is from RNAcentral.